Molecule: ribosomal RNA, 468 nt
Filed under: uncultured bacterium
Lineage: Bacteria
Description: partial 16S ribosomal RNA
Rfam family: Bacterial small subunit ribosomal RNA
Source: RNAcentral
GACGAACGCUGGCGGCGUGCUUAACACAUGCAAGUCGAACGGAAAGGCCCUGCUUUUGUGGGGUGCUCGAGUGGCGAAGGGGUGAGUAACACGUGAGUAACCUGCCCUUGACUUUGGGAUAACUUCAGGAAACUGGGGCUCAUACCGGAUAGGAGCUCCUGCUGCAUGGUGGGGGUUGGAAAGUUUCGGCGGUUGGGGAUGGACUGGCGGCUUAUCAGCUUGUUGGUGGGGUAGUGGAUUACCAAGGCUUUGACGGGUAGCCGGCAUGAGAGGGUGACCGGCCACAUGGGGACUGAGAUACGGACCAGACGCCUACGGGAGGCAGCAGUGGGGAAUAUUGCACAAUGGGCGGAAGCCUGAUGCAGCAGCGCCGCGUGCGGGAUGACGGCCUUCGGGUUGUAAACCGAUGUCGCCUGUGACGAAGCGUGAGUGACGGUAAUGGGUAAAGAAGCACCGGCUAACUACGUG